UCCGAAGGGGGCUAGCGUUGCUCGGAAUUACUGGGCGUAAAGCGCACGUAGGCGGCUUUCUAAGUCGGGGGUGAAAUCCUGGAGCUCAACUCCAGAACUGCCUUCGAUACUGGAGAGCUCGAGUCCGGGAGAGGUGAGUGGAACUGCGAGUGUAGAGGUGAAAUGCGUAGAUAUCUGGAGGAACACCGGUGGCGAAGGCGGCAUUCUGGACCGAUAUUGACGCUGAGGAGCGAAAGCCAGGGGAGCAAACGGG
RNAcentral lists this ribosomal RNA (253 nucleotides) under uncultured bacterium. RNAcentral describes it as "partial 16S ribosomal RNA". It matches the Rfam family "Bacterial small subunit ribosomal RNA", at positions 524 to 776 of the family's 1533-position model. The record is from RNAcentral.